UUUUUUCUAACUGCCACUACUACUAUUUUCAAAAUUUCUUCUAUCACUGUCACUCAGAUAUAUUGAACAUAUUUUCAUCACUCCUACAUGUUAUAGCAUGUAUGUUGGUUGCCUUCUCUGUUGGUCCUUUCUUAUUGCCUUAAGCCAGCCUUCCUAAUCAAGCAGGAAAGUCUGCAAGUCUCAGUUCAGAACUGAUCACCUCUGGAGAAGACUAAACUUACCCUUCUGAAUUCCUGUGGCUUGCAGUUGGAAUCCAGUGACUUUUGUUACAGGUGUUUGGUAUUUUGUCCCACUGACAAGAAAGUGACUGAUGCUACUCUAAAUAUACAAAGAAAGAAGGAAUUGCAUGCAUAUUGCAACCAUGUAAAAGACCUGCCUUCCAUAGCCUGCUCAGAAGGAGAAUUCAUCAUUGCACUUCUGAUGAAGAAGACACAUUUUUAAAAAAUCACUAAAUAAAAUUCAAAAAUAAAGCUAGUACACUUAAAAGGUUACAUGAAACUCAGUAAAUGAAAGAACAAAUAAGAUGUUGCAACAUCCUCAAAAAAAUUAGUCUUUACAUAUACAGUAAAG
Cavia porcellus (domestic guinea pig) is the source of this 570-nucleotide long non-coding RNA. RefSeq lists it as uncharacterized. Lineage: Eukaryota; Metazoa; Chordata; Mammalia; Rodentia; Caviidae. The record is from RefSeq and is a predicted model, not a curated record. The transcript is spliced from 3 exons.